This 465-nucleotide ribosomal RNA is filed under the name Vreelandella stevensii. RNAcentral's name for it is "partial 16S ribosomal RNA". It matches the Rfam family "Bacterial small subunit ribosomal RNA", at positions 338 to 795 of the family's 1533-position model. Lineage: Bacteria; Pseudomonadati; Pseudomonadota; Gammaproteobacteria; Oceanospirillales; Halomonadaceae. The record is from RNAcentral.
CCUACGGGUGGCUGCAGUGGGGAAUAUUGGACAAUGGGGGGAACCCUGAUCCAGCCAUGCCGCGUGUGUGAAGAAGGCCCUCGGGUUGUAAAGCACUUUCAGUGAGGAAGAACGCCUGGUGGUUAAUACCCAUCAGGAAAGACAGCACUCACAGAAGAAGCACCGGCUAACUCCGUGCCAGCAGCCGCGGUAAUACGGAGGGUGCGAGCGUUAAUCGGAAUUACUGGGCGUAAAGCGCGCGUAGGUGGCUUGAUAAGCCGGUUGUGAAAGCCCCGGGCUCAACCUGGGAACGGCAUCCGGAACUGUCAAGCUAGAGUGCAGGAGAGGAAGGUAGAAUUCCCGGUGUAGCGGUGAAAUGCGUAGAGAUCGGGAGGAAUACCAGUGGCGAAGGCGGCCUUCUGGACUGACACUGACACUGAGGUGCGAAAGCGUGGGUAGCAAACAGGAUUAGAUACCCUUGUAGUC